Molecule: ribosomal RNA, 580 nt
Filed under: uncultured bacterium
Lineage: Bacteria
Description: partial 16S ribosomal RNA
Rfam family: Bacterial small subunit ribosomal RNA
Source: RNAcentral
UGAGGAAUAUUGGACAAUGGGUGAGAGCCUGAUCCAGCCAUCCCGCGUGAAGGACGACGGCCCUAUGGGUUGUAAACUUCUUUUGUACAGGGAUAAACCUACCCUCGUGAGGGUAGCUGAAGGUACUGUACGAAUAAGCACCGGCUAACUCCGUGCCAGCAGCCGCGGUAAUACGGAGGGUGCAAGCGUUAUCCGGAUUUAUUGGGUUUAAAGGGGUCCGUAGGCGGAUCUGUAAGUCAGUGGUGAAAUCUCACAGCUUAACUGUGAAACUGCCAUUGAUACUGCAGGUCUUGAGUAAAUUUGAAGUGGCUGGAAUAAGUAGUGUAGCGGUGAAAUGCAUAGAUAUUACUUAGAACACCAAUUGCGAAGGCAGGUCACUAAGAUUUAACUGACGCUGAUGGACGAAAGCGUGGGGGGCGAACAGGAUUAGAUACCCUGGUAGUCCACGCCGUAAACGAUGCUAACUCGUUUUUGGGUUUUUCGGAUUCAGAGACUAAGCGAAAGUGAUAAGUUAGCCACCUGGGGAGUACGUUCGCAAGAAUGAAACUUAAAUGAAUUGACGGGGGUCAUAGCUGUUUUU